AGCGCGUACGUCGGCAGCGCGGAAGUUAGGGUCUCGAGGAGGCUGCCACCGGCUGAUCCUUCCUCCGGCGGCCGCCCUCCGUGGCCAGUUGUCGGACUCCGGGAAGUAGGCGCUGAGGGCUCGCCCCCUGCGUAUGUGAGCGCUUCUGUCUCUCUGGCGGCUACGCACGGCUGUCGCUCUGGAGAGACUGAGGAGGAAACGGGGGUGGGAGGGGAUUGCGACUGCAGUGGGACGCGGGAGCGGCGGAAGCACCGCGCUGGAGCGGUCCGGUGGCGUCGCCGGGCUUCCUUGCCCUCCCUCCGCCCGGCCGGGCUGGCUCGGAUCCCCGGGUCGAGCGCGCUGCUGCGUCACACCAGGCAGCCAGGCCGCCACUGUUGAGCAUCUCCGGCCGCCUCCCACGCCCGGGCGAGUGCACGGCCCGAGCUCCCGAGCCGAAGCGAAAGAAUGCGAGCUCAGGUUGUUGACGUCCUGUGACGCUGCUGGAUUGCAUUUGUGGGUGACCGUUGCCUGGUUCAGAAAAGAACUUUCACCAUCUUUGCUUUCUAGGUCCCUCCCUGGAGGGCGGAUUAAAGGAUGCCGCGACGAAUCGCAAAAGAACAAAAGCUCUCCAGGGACGCUGGUAACUGUCUCAUUUUAACGUGCUACAAUUUAGUUGAUAGUUUUCUGUUGUAACUGUAUCUGCGGGACUUGCUGACAACUCUUUGAGUGUGCUGAAAACAUUGUAUUUUCAGGCGCGGUGGUGACCCCCUCCCUUGCUCUAUUGUUGAAAGCAUUUAUUUUUUAAUCAGAAUUCUUUACACAGCCGUUUUUUUUGUUGUUGUUGUUGUUUCUACAGGUACACAGUUAAUUUUUAGGGGUUAACUUUUUUUUUUUAAUUUUCUAAUUACGUUCUUUUGUCGUUUGAGAUGGUGUAAAGACCUGCGUUGGAGUGUCUUAACAUCCAUUCCCAAAAUAAUUAUUUCCCCGUUUGGGAAAUAGUCGUUUAACUGGUUUGGUCCAGAAAGUUCAAGGAGAUCUCAAAAUGUUUAACUCCAAAUAUGUGCUUAUUAUAUUCAAGAGUAUAUUUAUCCUUGGGGAGUGGGGGGAAGUAUGAGGGCCCUAUUCAAAAACUACUGUACCCUGUACGGUAUAUUUCUGCAGGCCAUUGAAUAGUGAAACAAAAUAGAACAUCACCAUCUUUUUCUUCUCUUUCCUUUAACCCUAGAUAUUAAACAGCUCUAAUGCUGAGUUUUAGGAAUAGCAGGAUCAUGCAGGAUGUAGCUCAGCCGUGUAGCGCUGGCCUGGCAAGCGCGAGGUCCCCAGUUCGAUUCUUGGUACCAAAAAGGAAAAAAGAUCUUAAGAGUAUAUCCUCAAGGUGUAAAUGCUGAGUGUGAAAAACAAAGUGUAAAUGAGGACCAAAAUGUAUGAUAGAUAUUGUGAAAUAGGAAGAAAAUGUUCAAAGGGGAAGGAGAACUAGGGAGGGGGAGCAGGGAAAGGAAAGAAGGGAAAGAAAAAAUUGAAAAAAGAAGGAUGAAACGGAAGCAAAGCUUUUUGUAAAUAAGGAGGGAUGGAGAGGUUAAAAGGGAAGAGGAAUGGGGAAAAAUAAGAACCAAGAUGUAUCAUGUACAGGUACAAAUUACUAAUGAAUGUUUUCAUAAUGUAUACCUAAAAUGUACUGAUAAACUUAAUUAAAAAAAAGGAAAAAGAUCAUGCAAAUAUACAUUUCUGAAUUCCCUGAAGUAUUACAAACUAAGUACUGACCUUUAACAUUAAGCUUUAUAUUAAUGUUAUAAAAUAAUGGGAGCUUCCUGGGCCUUUAUUUUUGUUACCAGAUUGGUAAAUAAAAAAUUAAAAUUACAGAAAUACUAACCAUACAGAUAAAGCAUCUUAUAAUCAGAAGCAUUCGGUUAAUAACAUUCUCAAUUAAAACUACAUUAUGUCAUGUUAAAAAAAGAGUUACUGUAGAAAGUCUAUUUUACAUAUUUUCUGAAAGCAUAUGUCAAACCUUUUACCUGUGCCUUUGAUGUGCUAGUCUACAUGUAAGAGCUCUAAUAACUUUUUUCAGAAACAUAUCUUGCCAAAUUUAUAAAAUAUUGAACCUUGGAGAGUUACGUUUCAGGUAAAAUCAUAACAUUUUAUUGCUUUGCAAAAUUUUAGAAUGACUGUUAAGAAUAUGGAGAAAUAAAAGUAAGUAGAAAAUAGCAACAAUUGUGCCAGUUUGGUUUUUUUAAGUCAGUAGGAAUGCAAACGUAUUUUUUGAUGAUUUGUUACCUGCAUAAUUAAAUUCUGUUUCAGUUUGUAUGAAUUGUCUUUAUUUUUGCUUUCUGGUACUAAAAAUAUUAGCCAAACACUGAUAAUCUCAACAUGUAAAUAGCAAAAAUGCCAGAAAAUUAACAUUAACCAGGAAGCUUUUGUUACUGUUUAAUUUCGCAUUUGGAAAAUUACACAUCCCUUAGGAAUUUACAGUGUCUAAGACAGCAUUUUAUGGGUCUUUAAUUCUGAUAUACUCUACUAGAGCUAAUCACCAGUGGGUACUCUUCAGUGGGGAUGGACAGAAAAUCACUUUUCCAGAAUUGUGAAGUGAAGUAGAAUGCUAACUCUCACUUUUCUGCUAAUUUUUUGAAUGCCAAGAUAGAAAUUACAUUUCAUAAUAAUGUUCUCAUUGCCUAAAAGUUGUGCAAACAAGUUGCCCCUAAAACACUUAGUAUUAAAGCCGCUGGCCUGGGAUUAAGCUCAGUGGUUCCAGCACCUGCCUUGAAAACGCAAGGUCCUAAGUUUGAUCCCAGGUACCCCCCCGCCCCCGCCAAAAAAUAAAGAACCUGAUAAAGCCAGGGACUUAGCUCUGUGGCACUGCACCUGCCUCGUAAGCUCAAAGUCCUAAGUUUGAUCCCCAGUACCAAAAAAACCCACUUAGUAUUGAAAUAUGGACAGUCUCCAACUUCACAUGGGUCAGCUCAAUAUUUUUCAACUUUAUGAUGGUGUGAGAGUGAUACACAGCCAGUAGAAACUGCUUAAAAUUUUGAAUGUUGAGCUGGGCAUGAUGGUGCAUACCAACACUCAGGAGGCUGAGGCAGGAGAAUCGCUGCAAGUUCAGUGCCAGCCUGUGCUACAUAGUGAGUUCACCACCCGCCUGUGGUGAACUCACUAGACCAGUGAAACCUUGUCUCAAAAAGCAAAUUGUUUUCUCUUUAUUGAAUAUUUAUCUUUCCCUGAACUACGGAUGUGUAGUAAAUGCUCAAUGCUGAGCAGCAGCAAAGUGCAGCUCCCCAUCAGCCAGUGAUCAAGGGGGUAAAAACCACUACCACUGGUACUCUGGGUACUAUGGUGUUAAGCCAUGAUGUUCAGUAGGUUGAGUGUAUUAAAUGUAUCUAUGUGUUUGUGGUACUGGGAAUUGAACCCAGGGCCUUCACACUGAGCUACAUUCCCAGCUCUCUGUCUUUCAUUGCAUAACCCCAUUUUAAGUCAUGUAUUAGUAGCCUCAAAUCAUCAUCACCCACAUCCUUGCCAAACAGGAAAGUCUUUCCAAAUAUGUAUUUAAAUUUACAGAGUCCUUUGAGUAGAACUCAUGAAAUUUUAAGUUAUAGUGAAGAUUCACUGUACAUUUUCUAUUUUCCUAAUCAUAAAAAGGUAUGGGUGAGGAAUUAGGGGUUCCAGUUUCAGGUGGGGAGAGGAGACUAUCACCUAGGAAACUUUUUCCUAAUUACAGUGCUUUCUUGACUCCCAUUCCACCCUCUUCUAAUCCGAGAAUUUCUAGAAAGCAUUUGGGAAAAUUUCCCAGGUUCUGAUACCCACCAGCAGCUCCUCCAUCUUGUUUAUGGCCACUGUAUUUGGGGAUUUUGACUGUUAAGUCCUUUGUUGUUUUGUUUUUUAAGAGAGGGACUCUCGCUGUGUUGCCUGGCUUGGCCUUCAACUCCCGAGCUCAAGUGUCCUCCUCCCUCAGCAGUCCAAAGUAGCUGGGAUUACUAGCUCUUGGUCUGCCCACACCUGGCUCUUGACUGACGCAUUUUUGAAUCACAAUAAAAGUUCAAAGAGAAAGUUCUUAGAGAUGAUACUGAGAAGCAACUGUGUGUAAAAAUGUAACAGACAUUGGGUGGAUUCAAAGAUAGCUACUUCUUCUACUUACAAAAUUGUUUCUGUACGGUAAGAAAAAAAGAUGUUUAGCUAAAUAUGUAAAUUAUCAUAUAAACAUGUAUGAAGGUAUCAUACAUACAUGAUAUUCUAAUUAACCUUUUCACAGCUGACCUCAUCACUGCCUCCCAUCUUUCCUAGUAGACGCUCAACAUCCUAGACACACAUCUCUUCAGAGGCCGUAAUUCUCAGGACUGGGGUGGAUGCUUUGAAGGAGCAUGUUGCUAGACACUUGUGAUGGGAACUCAUUUUUCUUUCUUGAAGUACUGGAGCAAUCUGUAAAUGUGACUUCUCAGCUCAGAUCCUGUGAAGCAGAGCUGUGCUGAUGAAGGAAGCGCAGCAGAAGAGAUGCCUGUCACAUUCAAGCCCACUCACACUUCUUCACGUCUCUUCCCCCUGCUGGUCUCAAGUUGAGAAGAAAGAGCUAACACAUUAAAGCAACCCGGAUAUCCGGAGAGUCCAUGGAAGACUGCUGCCCUAGAACAAUUCUUCACUGUGUAGUCAACUUGCAGAAGAGAAGUGUAUGUUCUUUUGAGAUUUUUCUUUUUCUUUUUCAUUACAGCAAUAUAACCUGACUACAGGUUAUUAUAACCUAUUACAGACACACCUGACUAAAUGCAGCUAUUGUACUACUUUUAAAGAUGUUCUUACUCAACCUAUGUAGAAACUUCAGGGUUUUUAAAAUAAUACUUUCUGUAAAACAAGGGCUUUAUUAGUGUAAACAUCUAUAACAGAAAAAAAAAAGAAGGGAGUUAGGGGAGGUUGGGACAGCUAUCAGAUUGCAAUGCAAGUCUGGUUCUUUUUGUUGUUGGUUUUUGUUUUGUUUUGUCUUUUUGAGACAGUUUUUGCUAUGUAGUCCAGGCUAGCUUUAAACUCACUGUGUAGCUCAGGCUGGCUUGGAACAGAUGGUGAUCCUCCUGCCUCAGCCUCCUGAGUGCUGGGAUUACAGGCAUGUGCCCCUACACCUGCUGCAAGUCUGAUUCUGAGUGAAGAAGACGGCAAAGAAAGGAGGAAGGCAGGUGGGUGAAGGCAGGCCAAAAUCUUUGGCUGCCAUGCUGCCUAAGGAAAAUAGGGGAUUUAUCAUUUGGAGUAAUUGUCAAUUUUUUUUAUACCC
This 5221-nucleotide long non-coding RNA is filed under the name Heterocephalus glaber (naked mole-rat). RNAcentral describes it as "lncRNA (ENSHGLG00000045177.1)". Lineage: Eukaryota; Metazoa; Chordata; Mammalia; Rodentia; Bathyergidae. The record is from RNAcentral.